RNAcentral lists this transfer RNA (73 nucleotides) under Lachnospiraceae bacterium. RNAcentral's name for it is "tRNA-Arg". It matches the Rfam family "tRNA". Rfam says of the family: Transfer RNA (tRNA) molecules are approximately 80 nucleotides in length. Their secondary structure includes four short double-helical elements and three loops (D, anti-codon, and T loops). The record is from RNAcentral. Lineage: Bacteria; Bacillati; Bacillota; Clostridia; Lachnospirales; Lachnospiraceae.
GCACCUGUAGCUCAGUGGAUAGAGCAGUGGUUUCCGGAACCAUGUGCCGGGGGUUCGAGUCCCUCCAGGUGCG